CCUCUCUCUCCUGCAGCUGAACAUCAACCACCCUCACCCCCACAAUCCCCAUCAUCUAUCUGCAGUGAGCAGGCGUCCCUCUCCAAACCAGUCUUCGUACUGUGUUCUCCCUUCAAAACAGCAGCCAGGCUUUCCAUUACGUGUCAGCAUGCUGUCAGAGCCUACCUCUUUCAGAGAGAUUAUUUUUCCCUUUCAUAUCUGAAAGUGUGCAGCCAUAUCUAAUAAUACCGUAUCCAAUUGAUCUUGGGGAAAAUGUAGCACUUCAUUGGUGGAAAAACAACAACAACAAAUAAAAAACAAAUCAUGUCCUCUAUCCACAAUGUCAACACCGGAAUCUCUAAUCCUAUUUUUUCCUUUACUGUAAUUAAAAGUUCUGUCAUUUUUUUUGUGAAGCUUCACACAGAAUUGAGUGUGGCAGGUGAGAAUUUUGAGGGGCAACCGCCGAGGCAUCUUGAAAUGCAACGUACCCUGACUACUUCUAACCUCUUCUCCCACAUGAGAAGCUGGGAAGGUGUUACAGACAUACAGGCCAUUUCCUGCUGAGAGACGAUGUGGAAGAAGCACACCUCACCUGCGAAAAAGGCCAGAGAGAAGUCCAACAUUUGAUUUUUGGCGAGGUGUAAGCUACGUCGGUGAAGGACGAGGCCAUGUAAAAUUAAUAAGUGGGCAGAAUGAGACCUACACACUGUUGGGGAGAAAUUCAAACCUGAUCAGCUGUGCGUAGGUGUUAGUUAGGGCAACUGGCAACACCUGAGGGCCCACAAGGUUGCUGGGUUGUUAAAGGCCGGGCUGCAGCUGUGGCAGUCUCUCUCACUCUCCUCUGACUGCUUGUGGCUGCUGCUGUUAUUUGCAGCUCUCUGCUCUCCCCUCCAGAUACCCGUGCUGGUUCAGUUUAGUUAUGUUGCCUUAGUUAUUUCUCUUGCUUUUAUGCACCAUCCAACACCUAUACGCACACGCUCUCCACUCAUACAUCACACACUUUGCCCUGAUCCUACUG
Thunnus maccoyii (southern bluefin tuna) is the source of this 997-nucleotide long non-coding RNA. RefSeq lists it as uncharacterized. The transcript has 4 exons. The record is from RefSeq and is a predicted model, not a curated record. NCBI's taxonomy places the organism in Eukaryota, Metazoa, Chordata, Actinopteri, Scombriformes, Scombridae.